Molecule: long non-coding RNA, 407 nt
Organism: Pezoporus flaviventris
Lineage: Eukaryota; Metazoa; Chordata; Aves; Psittaciformes; Psittacidae
Exons: 2
Source: RefSeq, a predicted model, not a curated record
AAGGGGUUCGAGUCACUCAGUUUUUCCCUGGAAAAAGACUUGAGCCAACCUCAGUUUUGUUUUCCAGCUCAGGCUGAAUGCCACUUCCUCUUAAGCCAUCCCUGCUGACAAGGAUCUUCAUCUCCACUGGGAGCCAUCACUGCCAUCAUCCAGACUGUCCUGCUAGAUCUGCAUCAAGAACCUGUGGGCUUCAUCCAUGUUGCAAACUUGAGAAGCCAGUCAAAAUUUGUCUUACUAAAUACCUGAACACAGCUCUUUUUACAAGGUAAACUAGUGUGAUUUUCUAAGGAAUCAUGAGUUUGCUUAGCACUACAGAUAUCAGCAGUACAGGCAUGUUUGUUCCUAGAAGUGAUCCUCACCAAAGAACCAUCCUCUGGUCUUCUUAAUACUCAAAACAAUACAUAUGA